GAUAAGGAUGAAUAAAUAAAAAUAAAUUGCAAUUUAUCAUACGUGAAAACCCUACGUGUUUAUUAUGUGUGUGGUUCAAUUAUAUUGUUCAACAGCAGUUGAAGUAUAUGCGCUUUCCGCCGCUCAAAUUAUUGUGCAAUGAUUAAUUUUGCUGUACUCAUCACUGACAUCAUUUAAAGAUUUUUGGCCAAAGGAAACAUCUAUUCCAAGCUGGCACACCCCAGGAAACCCGAUACCUUGCGAGUCGUGUAAUACCAUAGGGGACUGUGGUGUGCAUUUCGGCACGAACAUAAAUAGGAGGCUUCCAUAUGCAAACAGCGCUGUCAUCUGUGUAUCCAGAACCAGAGUACGAUUCUGAUAUGCCAAAUAUUCCAUGUGCAACAGAAAAAGGAACAGAUAAACAUUGUAUAACAAUAAGGAACCAUUUCUUUGAUACCAGUGAUAGAAUUCGUGUCAAAGGGAAACGGAAAAGCGGUCUCAUUAGUGCCCCGGAGUGUCCAGCUAAGCGACAGAAAGGUGUAAGACAGUAUCAUUCAUCAGACGAAUCCAAGAUUCUUGCGCAUGUUCGUAAAGGCUUAUCAGACAUUUGAAGGGCAUAGACAACACAACAUUGAAUACUAAAACAUGGAUAUAACAUGUACAUGUAAUGCUAUGAUUUAAAAAGUAAGAAUAACAUAUUGCAAGAACAAAGUUUUUAUAAUGAUUACCAUGGAAAACAUUGAUCAUAAAGAAUUACACAGUAAUUACUGUAACAAAUGAUAAGUAUAAACAAGAAAGGUGUUUUCUUCUUUCCAAAACAUUAUUUAUAAACAAUAAAACUGGCAUUUAUGUAAAAAUGCUAAUAAUAGUAUAAACCAGAAUUGUGUGUUGUGUUUCCUUACA
Long non-coding RNA from Dreissena polymorpha, 882 nucleotides. RefSeq lists it as uncharacterized. The transcript has 4 exons. Lineage: Eukaryota; Metazoa; Mollusca; Bivalvia; Myida; Dreissenidae. The record is from RefSeq and is a predicted model, not a curated record.